UACGUAGGGGGCAAGCGUUGUCCGGAAUCAUUGGGCGUAAAGAGCGUGUAGGCGGCUCGGUAAGUCCGCUGUGAAAGUCCAGGGCUCAACCCUGGAAUGCCGGUGGAAACUGUCGAGCUAGAGUCCGGAAGAGGCGAGUGGAAUUCCUGGUGUAGCGGUGAAAUGCGCAGAUAUCAGGAGGAACACCAAUGGCGAAGGCAGCUCGCUGGGACGGUACUGACGCUGAGGUGCGAAAGCGUGGGGAGCAAACAGG
This 253-nucleotide ribosomal RNA is filed under the name uncultured bacterium. RNAcentral describes it as "partial 16S ribosomal RNA". It matches the Rfam family "Bacterial small subunit ribosomal RNA", at positions 524 to 776 of the family's 1533-position model. The record is from RNAcentral.